Tetranychus urticae (two-spotted spider mite) is the source of this 82-nucleotide microRNA precursor. It matches the Rfam family "mir-263 microRNA precursor family". Lineage: Eukaryota; Metazoa; Arthropoda; Arachnida; Trombidiformes; Tetranychidae. The record is from Rfam.
CUGUUUCUCUCUAUGGCACUGGAAGAAUUCACGGGGACUCAAUGUUAUUCCGUGGUUUCUCUAGUGCUGUGAAGAGCAGCGG